Molecule: ribosomal RNA, 468 nt
Filed under: uncultured bacterium
Lineage: Bacteria
Description: partial 16S ribosomal RNA
Rfam family: Bacterial small subunit ribosomal RNA
Source: RNAcentral
GACGAACGCUGGCGGCGUGCUUAACACAUGCAAGUCGAACGGAAAGGCCCUGCUUUUGUGGGGUGCUCGAGUGGCGAACGGGUGAGUAACACGUGAGUAACCUGCCCUUUACUUUGGGAUAACUUCAGGAAACUGGGGCUAAUACCGGAUAGGAGCUCCUGCUGCAUGGUUGUGGUUGGAAAGUUUCGGCGGUUGGGGAUGGACUCGCGGCUUAUCAGCUUGUUGGUGGGGUAGUGGCUUACCAAGGCUUUGACGGGUAGCCGGCCUGAGAGGGUGACCGGCGACAUUGGGACUGAGAUACGGCCCAGACUCCUACGGGAGGCAGCAGUGGGGAAUAUUGCACAAUGGGCGGAAGCCUGAUGCAGCAACGCCGCGUGCGGGAUGACGGCCUUCGGGUUGUAAACCGCUUUCGCCUGUGACGAAGCGUGAGUGACGGUAAUGGGUAAAGAAGCACCGGCUAACUACGUG